RNAcentral lists this ribosomal RNA (468 nucleotides) under uncultured bacterium. RNAcentral describes it as "partial 16S ribosomal RNA". It matches the Rfam family "Bacterial small subunit ribosomal RNA", at positions 28 to 507 of the family's 1533-position model. The record is from RNAcentral.
GACGAACGCUGGCGGCGUGCUUAGCACAUGCAAGUCGAACGGAAAGGCCCUGCUUUUGUGGGGUGCUCGAGUGGCGAACGGGCGAGUAACACGUGAGUAACCUGCCCUUGACUUUGGGAUAACUUCAGGAAACUGGGGCUAAUACCGGAUAGGAGCUCCUGCUGCAUGGUGGGGGUUGGAAAGUUUCGGCGGUUGGGGAUGGACUCGCGGCUUAUCAGCUUGUUGGUGGGGUAGUGGCUUACCAAGGCUUUGACGGGUAGCCGGCCUGAGGGGGUGACCGGCCACAUUGGGACUGAGAUACGGCCCAGACUCCUACGGGAGGCAGCAGUGGGGAAUAUUGCACAAUGGGCGGAAGCCUGAUGCAGCAACGCCGCGUGCGGGAUGACGGCCUUCGGGUUGUAAACCGCUUUCGCCUGUGACGAAGCGUGAGUGACGGUAAUGGGUAAAGAAGCACCGGCUAACUACGUG